Non-coding RNA from Beta vulgaris subsp. vulgaris (sugar beet), 369 nucleotides. Lineage: Eukaryota; Viridiplantae; Streptophyta; Magnoliopsida; Caryophyllales; Amaranthaceae. The record is from Rfam.
GGGGAUGAUCGGUUUCGACAUCGUCUUCGAAUCCACGAGAAGCGGGCCGAGGAUGCAGGGUUAUCUCGCAAACGAUCUCUGCAAAAACAUAAUUGCCGAUGCAAAUCGCAAUGACUUCGCCCUCGCUGCGUAAGCGAGCCUGAAGUCCGUCAGACCGUAGGUGUUCCCGCUACGGACCCUGGCGUCAUCUAGGGGACUUGCUGUGUGAUGGCGUCUGGACGUCACACGGGACUCUUCCCAGGCUGGGCUCGUCGACUUAGGUGUCUGUGACAAAUGUCGGAGCCGAGCAGAACGUCAGCACAGACUGCGCCCGGAGAAUGCGUGGAGACCCAGCGAUGGACGGGGGUUCGAUUCCCCCCAUCUCCACAA